AUACUUACCUGGAGGUGAAUGGGUGAUCAAGAAGGCCCAUGACCUAGGUUGGCGACCUCCAUUGCACCAAGGAGGGGUGCCCGCCUAACAUCUCCCUGAGUGGGAGAAUGUACGUCAUAAUUUGUGGUAGUGGGGGUACGCGCGCGGCCCCUAC
Molecule: non-coding RNA, 154 nt
Organism: Nelumbo nucifera (sacred lotus)
Lineage: Eukaryota; Viridiplantae; Streptophyta; Magnoliopsida; Proteales; Nelumbonaceae
Source: Rfam